CUUUCAUGAUGAUUUACUCACCAUCUUUCGACUGAAUGUUUGUGAUGAUAUAUAAUUUGUACUGAGCAUAAUU
Small nucleolar RNA from Formica exsecta, 73 nucleotides. NCBI's taxonomy places the organism in Eukaryota, Metazoa, Arthropoda, Insecta, Hymenoptera, Formicidae. The record is from RefSeq and is a predicted model, not a curated record.